This 581-nucleotide ribosomal RNA is filed under the name uncultured bacterium. RNAcentral describes it as "partial 16S ribosomal RNA". The record is from RNAcentral.
CCGUCAAUUCAUUUGAGUUUCAACCUUGCGGUCGUACUCCCCAGGUGGGGUACUUAAUGCGUUAGCUUUGGCACUGAACCUUGCGGCCCAGCACCGAGUACCCAUCGUUUAAGGCGUGGACUACCAGGGUAUCUAAUCCUGUUCGAUCCCCACGCUUUCGUGCAUCAGCGUCAGUAACGGCCCAGCAAGCUGCCUUCGCUAUCGGUGUUCUGUGUAAUAUCUAAGCAUUUCACCGCUACAUUACACAUUCCGCCUGCCUUGACCAUACUCAAGAAAAACAGUAUCAAUGGCAAGUCUACAGUUAAGCUGCAGGGUUUCACCACUGACUUAUUCUUCCGCCUACGCACCCUUUAAACCCAAUAAAUCCGGAUAACGCUCGCAUCCUCCGUAUUACCGCGGCUGCUGGCACGGAGUUAGCCGAUGCUUAUUCUCAGGGUACCUUCAGUUCUGUAUACAUACAAAAUUUUAUCCCCCUGAAAAAGAAGUUUACAACGCAUAGCGCAUUCUUCCUUCACGCGGGAUGGCUGGUUCAGGCUGCCGCCCAUUGACCAAUAUUCCCUACKGCUGCCUCCCGUAGGAGU